Molecule: ribosomal RNA, 673 nt
Filed under: Escherichia sp.
Lineage: Bacteria; Pseudomonadati; Pseudomonadota; Gammaproteobacteria; Enterobacterales; Enterobacteriaceae
Description: bacterial SSU rRNA
Rfam family: Bacterial small subunit ribosomal RNA
Source: RNAcentral
GCUUGCUUCUUUGCUGACGAGUGGCGGACGGGUGAGUAAUGUCUGGGAAACUGCCUGAUGGAGGGGGAUAACUACUGGAAACGGUAGCUAAUACCGCAUAACGUCGCAAGACCAAAGAGGGGGACCUUCGGGCCUCUUGCCAUCGGAUGUGCCCAGAUGGGAUUAGCUAGUAGGUGGGGUAACGGCUCACCUAGGCGACGAUCCCUAGCUGGUCUGAGAGGAUGACCAGCCACACUGGAACUGAGACACGGUCCAGACUCCUACGGGAGGCAGCAGUGGGGAAUAUUGCACAAUGGGCGCAAGCCUGAUGCAGCCAUGCCGCGUGUAUGAAGAAGGCCUUCGGGUUGUAAAGUACUUUCAGCGGGGAGGAAGGGAGUAAAGUUAAUACCUUUGCUCAUUGACGUUACCCGCAGAAGAAGCACCGGCUAACUCCGUGCCAGCAGCCGCGGUAAUACGGAGGGUGCAAGCGUUAAUCGGAAUUACUGGGCGUAAAGCGCACGCAGGCGGUUUGUUAAGUCAGAUGUGAAAUCCCCGGGCUCAACCUGGGAACUGCAUCUGAUACUGGCAAGCUUGAGUCUCGUAGAGGGGGGUAGAAUUCCAGGUGUAGCGGUGAAAUGCGUAGAGAUCUGGAGGAAUACCGGUGGCGAAGGCGGCCCCCUGGACGAAGACUGAC